Fukomys damarensis (Damara mole-rat) is the source of this 442-nucleotide long non-coding RNA. RefSeq lists it as uncharacterized. NCBI's taxonomy places the organism in Eukaryota, Metazoa, Chordata, Mammalia, Rodentia, Bathyergidae. The record is from RefSeq and is a predicted model, not a curated record. The transcript is spliced from 3 exons.
CCCUGAGCUGUUAGGGGUGGAGCUAGUCCCUCUGGCUUUGGUCUAGAAAACCUUUCUGCAAAAAAGUAGUUAAUGAAUUGGAACACAGAAUCUCACUGUCCCUUCUUGAAAUGGGGCUUCUGUCUGUCGGGACAGACAGAAAGGAAUUGCAAAUGCAGGAUUAGGUACCCUGACACUAAUGCAAUUCUCAUUUGCUAUCAGUUUACUCCAUGGUCUACAAAAUGCUAUUAAAAAUGGAUGCAGGAUGUGAGAUAAAACAUAUCAAAUCCAAGAUGAUUCACAAGAGCACUCACUUGUCUGGUCCUUUGGCUCCAGUGGCCGUAAACCAGGAGAGACACAGCCCAGGGUGCCAGGGAACUACGUGGCUGCAGUCAGUUCAAACUGGAUCCCGCAGUGGUUAUGGCAUGCACAGAGAGGGCCUCACUGUGCAGUCCAGGCUGUC